AUUUAGUCUGCUGAAAGAGAAUGUAGGAAAAUCACUGUCUCAUCCAAACAAUCAUGUGUGUGAUAGCUGUGGAGACAAAUACCACUGUGAUGACUCAGUGUUUUAUAAGAAGAUGACAGUGAGAGGGAAAACCCAGCUAAAGGUAAAAACAAAACCAACGAUGAUAGUGAUAGGACAAGGGGGAAUAGUUUUAAACUAAGACUGGGGAGAUGUAGGUUAGAUAUUAGGAGGAAGUUUUUCACUCAGAGGGUGGUGACGCACUGGAGCAGGUUGCCCAGAGAGGUUGUGGAUGCCCUAUCCCUGGAGGUAUUUAAGGCCAGGCUGCGUGUGGCUCUGGGCAGCCUGGUCUAGUGGUUGGUGACCCUGCACACAGCAGUGGGGAUGAAACUUGAUGAUCUUUGAGGUCCUUUUUAGCCUGGUCCAUUCUAUGAUCCUGUGAUUCUAUGAUGAACAACCCCUGUGAUAAAACAUGAAAAAAACCACAGUCGUAAUGUAAAUGCCAACUGUAAGAUGACAACACGAUUUCCAACAGUUUUAGUCACAUCCUGUGCAAUUAACAAGCAUUUCAGCUUUUAUAAUUUUAUAAAAUUAUAAUUGUUUUAUAACCUUGCUUGGAGCCAAAGCCAGCAUUUUGCUGCUGCAUGAGGUGAGGUGCAGCAGCUGCCUGACUUGGCUUUGGGCGGGAAAGCCCCUCAGUGCCACCCCAGCAACUGCACGUGAUGGGUGCACCUGUCGAUGAGGGCAUCUGUGGGUGUCCCAGCAACAUCCCACUGCCUCCUUCCCCACCCAGUGAUUCAGCCCCAGGUCCCAAAGUUGCCCCUGCUCCUCCUCCCCAGGCUUGUUGCAGUUCUCGGCAGCCAUGACUGAGGUAGGGGGCUCGUUUGGCUUCCCGCCAUUUUCUAAUUGCGACAAAAUGGCGGCGGGUGCCCUGUGCCUCAGCUCCCUCAGCAGCUCCUGCCCCAGAGAGGAGCUUCCGCCUGGGUUACAUCAGCCUUUGGAGUCUGAAGGACCUGAUCCUUCCCUUUCUCCUACUCUGCAACAACCUGGUGGUGCGGCUGAGCGAUUGCUGGAGAGACCACUAGAGAGCAGCAGAGACUGUGUUAAAGCAUCCGUCCCUCGUCUUAAAUGA
Molecule: long non-coding RNA, 1129 nt
Filed under: Numida meleagris (helmeted guineafowl)
Lineage: Eukaryota; Metazoa; Chordata; Aves; Galliformes; Numididae
Description: lncRNA (ENSNMEG00000021549.1)
Source: RNAcentral